Motacilla alba alba is the source of this 1086-nucleotide long non-coding RNA. RefSeq lists it as uncharacterized. The transcript is spliced from 4 exons. NCBI's taxonomy places the organism in Eukaryota, Metazoa, Chordata, Aves, Passeriformes, Motacillidae. The record is from RefSeq and is a predicted model, not a curated record.
CAGGUAAGAUUUCCUGCACACUGGAGCUGAAUUGGACCUCUUCCAUCAGCAGCAUUGAAGAAAGAGCCUUUGGUGCCUUCCUUGGCAAUGCUCAGUGCUCUGGUUACCCUGGCCUUUUCCUUCAGAGCAACUUCUGUCCUUGAAGAAUAUGGUGGCAUUCCAAAGAAGACUUCCACUCAGCUUAACCACUCUGAACUAGCAUUUGGUUUGAAAGUGGAAUCUGAACAGGCUGCUCUGGAGCAUUUAGAGUUGCAUCCCACAGAUCCUCUGCACACAACUUGUCUGCACUGUUCGGAGUCUUUGAUCUUCACUGGAGAGCCCCCAGUGCCCUGAGAGCAUCACCAGGAGAUUUUUCACCAGCCAAGAGCCCACGGUGCUGGGAGAUGCUGGAAGAGGAGAGGGGGUAUCCCUGCUGUGGUGAGGUUUGGAGAAGAGAUUUUCUUUCUCUGUCACCCCAAUCACACAAUGACCAGGCAAAACCAAGUGACAGGGCAAGGCUUGGAAGGGAGGAAGAAGGGAAGGCACCAUAAAUUCUUCUUGUGGUUGGCCCGGGCACCAGAGUGUCCCAUUCAGAUUUUCUGAAAAAUCCCUUUGCCCAGGAUUUUUCUCCUGGGAAGAUGAGAAGCCUCAGAAAAAAAAAAAGAAAAACAGUUACUGUCUCAUUUGCUUCUCCUGUGUUGUGCUCCUGUGGAAUGUGUUUGGAGAUUGUUUACCCACAGGUGAUUGUUUCAUUGGUUUCAUGGGAAUUGUUUUUACUCUUUGGCCAAUCAGGGCCAAACUGUGUCAAGACUCUGGAAAGAAUAAUGAGUUUUUCAUUAUCUUUUCAGCAUUGUGUAAGUAUCCUUUCUGUAUUCUUUAGUAUAGUUUAGUAUAGCAUUCUUUAAUAUAAUAUAGUAUCAUAAAAUAAUAAAUGAACCUUCUGAGAACAUGGAGUCAGAUUCAUCAUUCCUUCCUGCCACGGGGGUCCCAGCAAAUACAAUACCAGAGAAGAACUGUCUCUGCAGACCUCUCACAUCCAAGCAGAGGUGAGAGUUGCUCAGGGAGAUCCCUUUCACUUCCAUAACAUGGUAGGAGUUUGGAAUUUAU